UCGGUCAAAAUAGAGGAAAAAGAAAUAAAAAAAACGCUUACUGGCAACGAAACCACCACGCCCAACAAAACAAAGGAAGUAGAGAAGAGGAGGGAAGGGAAGAGAAGUCGGCGUUUAGAACUCUGCAAACCCUAACCGAUUCCUCUCUUCUAUUCUUUCUAUUGGACGCAUCGAUCGCUGUUUCGAGACUGUGCAUGGGCUGGUUGUGCUGGUUUGAGUGGCUAAUUGAGUAAUCGAUGGUUUAAUUUAGAGUAUUUGAUUUGGGUACCGAAUUUGAGCUUCGAGUUUUUGGAGGUCAAAAGAUGGAUUUGGUAACUAGUUGCAAGGAUAAAUUGGCAUAUUUUCGGAUAAAAGAGCUCAAGGAUGUCCUGACACAGUUAGGUCUUUCGAAGCAGGGGAAGAAGCAGGACCUUGUUGACCGCAUAUUAGCUGUUCUCUCCGAUGAGCAAGUUCCAAAGACUUCAGUGAAAAAAAGUGCUGUUGGAAAGGAAGAGGUGGCAAAACUGGUGGAUGACAUUUACAGAAAAAUGCAGGUUUCUGGGGCCACUGAUUUAGCAUCAAAGGGACAGGGUGUUUUGGAUAGCAGCAAGGCAGUAAUUAAAGGAGAAAUGGAUGAGUCCUUUCAAUUGGAUACAAAAGUUCGUUGUCCAUGCGGAAGUUCAUUGUUGACGGAGUCGAUGAUUAAGUGUGAGGAUCUCAGAUGUCAAGUGUGGCAACAUAUUCGUUGUGUUAUAAUUCCUGAAAAACCCAUGGAGGGCAUUCCUCAAGUUCCUGACUUGUUUUACUGCGAGAUAUGUCGGCUCUGCCGUGCUGACCCUUUUUGGGUUACUGUUGCUCAUCCUCUGUAUCCUGUGAAGUUGGCUACUACAAAUAUCCCGAGUGAUGGUUCAAGCCCAGUGCAGAGUGUGGAGAAAACAUUUAAUCUUACAAGGGCAGAUAAGGACUUACUGACAAAACAAGAAUAUGAUGUUCAGGCUUGGUGUAUGCUUUUGAAUGACAAGGUUCCUUUUAGGAUGCAAUGGCCACAAUAUGCAGAUCUGCAGGUCAAUGGUGUGCCAGUUCGAGCUAUUAAUAGACCUGGUUCACAAUUAUUGGGGGCUAAUGGCCGUGAUGAUGGUCCAAUUGUCACACCAUGUACAAAAGACGGGAUCAAUAAAAUAUCAUUAACCGGAUGUGAUGCUCGAAUCUUCUGUUUAGGAGUCAGAAUUGUAAAGCGACGUACUGUUCAACAGAUACUCAACCUGAUUCCAAAGGAGUCUGAUGGUGAACAUUUUGAAGAUGCACUUGCUCGAGUUUGUCGUUGUGUUGGUGGUGGAGCAGCAGAUAAUGCUGAUAGUGACAGUGACCUAGAAGUAGUUGCAGAUUCUUUUACUGUUAGUCUCCGCUGUCCUAUGAGUGGUUCGAGAAUGAAGGUUGCUGGAAGAUUUAAACCUUGUGCUCAUAUGGGCUGUUUCGACCUUGAAGUUUUUGUGGAAAUGAACCAGCGUUCUAGGAAGUGGCAGUGCCCCAUUUGUCUCAAGAAUUACUCGUUGGAGAAUGUAAUCAUUGAUCCAUAUUUCAAUCGUGUCACUUCUAAGAUGUGGCAUUGUGGUGAAGAUACAACAGAGAUUGAGGUGAAGCCGGAUGGUUCUUGGCGCGUAAAAACCAAAACUGAAGCUGAGCGUAGAGAUGUUGGUGAACUUGCACAGUGGCACUAUCCUGAUGGUUCUCCAUGUGCACCUAAUGGGGGAGAGGUCAAAGCAAAAGUGGAAAUGGAAAAGUUGAUCAGGCAGGAAGGACCUUCAGACUGUCAUAAUGGUACUGGUUUGAAACUUGGAAUCAGGAAGAACCGCAAUGGCUUUUGGGAAGUCAGCAAACCAGAGGAUGUGAAUACAUCCUCUUCUGGUAAUAAAUUGCAAGAGAAGCUUGAAAGCCAUGAACAGAAAGUUAUUCCUAUGAGCAGUAGUGCCACAGGCAGUGGUCGGGAUGGUGAAGAUCCAAGUGUAAAUCAGGAUGGUGGUGGGAAUUUUGAUUUUACGAACAAUGGGAUAGAACUUGAUUCAUUGUCUCUAAAUGUAGAUUCAGCAUAUGAAUUUACUGACCGAAACAUUUCUGCACCAAUAAUGGAUGCAGAGGUUAUUGUUCUUAGUGAUUCAGAUGAUGAUAAUGAUCUAUUGAUGCCACCUGGAGCUCUUUAUAAGAAUAAUCAAACUGGCAAUGAUGGGGCUGCUUUUCCAAUGGCCCCUCCUGAAAUUGCAAAUCCCUAUACUGAAUAUCCUACAGAUGGGAAUGGUUUGGGCUUUCUAAAUCCUAAUGAUGUUCUAAAUCCUAAUGAUGAUGAAUUUGGGAUUCCCCACUGGCUGCCACCUGGAAGCCAAGGUGGCCCAGGGUUUCAAUUUCUUAAUUCAGAUGUCCCAGGUGCCUUCAUUGAUUUGGAUAAUGGUCCUAUCAACUGUCCCAUGUCAAUGAAUGGUUAUGCAUUGGCUCCAAAUACUGUCAUGGGACCAGCUGGUUUAGUUCCAGAUUCUUCCAUUGGUAGAUCUGACACUGACAUGAAUGAUGGCUUGGUUGAUAACCCCUUGCAAUUUGGUGGUGAAGAUCCUUCUCUUCAAAUCUUUCUUCCAACUAGGCCUUCAGAUGCAUCAGGGCAGUCUGAUUUGAGGGAUCAAGCUGAUAUGUCAAAUGGUGUCCAUACAGAGGAUUGGAUCUCUCUUAGUCUUGGUGGUGGUGGUGCCACUGGCAAUCACAGUGAUUCAAUUCCUGAAAAUGGACUGAAUUCGAGAAAGCAGGUGCCAUCGAGAGAAGGUGCAAUGGAGUCUUUGGCUGACACUGCUUCUUUGCUUCUUGGUAUGAAUAAUGGUAGAUCUGAGAAGGCAAGUCGGCAAAGAUCUGAUAGCCCUUUCACAUUUCCUCGCCCAAAACGUUCUGUAAGGCAGCGAUUGUAUCUCUCUAUAGACUCAGACUCAGACUCGGAGUAGUGAAGUGGAGCCCUUUUUUGGCUGAGAAAACUGUUGCCUUUACUUUGAUAUUGUUUGGGGGACAAACAUUUUCUGGUAUGGUUCGGUGAUUUAAAAAAAUUGACAUUUGGUUCCUAUGACAUGGAAGGCUGAAAUGAGGACAUUGGGAAAACUGUCCUCAUAAAGUUGUGUUGGCAGCCGAAGAUUAUUUUGUGCAAUUGGUGAGCUGUGGAUGCCCCUCUGCAAUCCCCUUUUUUCUCUCAUCUCUUUUUAAGGUUUGGCUGGCAUUAUUAGAGCGUAAGAAAGCGGCAAUCCAGUGUUGAUAGCUUCUCUCUCUCUUCAAUUUUUUCAGAGGUUUUUAAGAAAAUUAAGCUGUGGUGUUGGUUACUGGAUUAUUACUGCGUACUUGGACACUUCUAUAUGUGGUAAAUUUUGCUACUGUGCUGUACGGCUGGCUUUGUUUACGAAGUUCCUGGAUCAAGAUUUUAUUGUCCCUUUUUUCCGUGUGCAGAAGAGGACCAACACUAGUUACUAUGCAAUUGCUGUGGGUUAUUUAACAUGCAGAUCACCGACUGCUUGGAAGUGAUUUAUUUUGAGGUUUAAUGGAACUUGAGGAGUGCCUUUAUAAAGUUUUUUUUUUUUCACUCUAUUAUUUCACCUCAGUUGCAGGUCAUUCAUGCUGUUGGAGAUCGAAUCGAUGCUGGGGUUAUCCUAAUCAUAAUUUUGGGAUCAGUGUAAUGCUCCUGCAGUCCGGGAGCACUGUAGAAUUUAGAAGCUUUGACCUCGUUCCAUUUUAAAAUUUGCCAUAUGAGCUUUGUUGUAAUUACUAAUAAGCCUUCCAUCUCGAAUGUAUGUAUUUUCAGCAAGAUGAAUAUACAGAAUAAUCUUAGUCGGUACUGAUUUUAGACCCAA
Hevea brasiliensis (rubber tree) is the source of this 3848-nucleotide RNA transcript. It is a transcript of the gene named E3 SUMO-protein ligase SIZ1, with no coding region annotated. NCBI's taxonomy places the organism in Eukaryota, Viridiplantae, Streptophyta, Magnoliopsida, Malpighiales, Euphorbiaceae. The transcript is spliced from 18 exons. The record is from RefSeq and is a predicted model, not a curated record.